GGUGCUGGGCAUGAGUCCAGACUCUGCGCUCAGGACCCAACUAAUAAAGCCGACUCAGACCCACGGAGGGGCCAUGUCCUUGCACCUGGAGAGGCAGGCGUGCAGAGCCAGCCUCUGGGGCACAGGCACUGGUGGUCUCCCGAGGGGCAGUGGCCGCUGCGAGCCAUCGCCAACCAGCACUGCGGGCAAUGGAGAUGGUCAGAGCAGAGAGGAACGGGUGAGCGCAGCUGACAUCUCUGGAUGUGGGAUCAAUCUAUGGAUACCUAAGACUUAACUGGGAUAGUCAGAAUGUGUAUUUCUUGAUCUCAACAUUAUAUGAAUAAAGGUGCAACUGACCAAGUUUGGACACAACAUCAUGGAAUGCUGAGGCCGCCUCUGUCAUCCUAGGGAAACCCAGUCUGUGGUUAGAAACAAUGCAUGAGGAGGAUGAGCCGGAGAAUCUCUGAGAAGCAGG
This is a long non-coding RNA of Manis pentadactyla (Chinese pangolin), 454 nucleotides long. RefSeq lists it as uncharacterized. The record is from RefSeq and is a predicted model, not a curated record. The transcript has 3 exons. NCBI's taxonomy places the organism in Eukaryota, Metazoa, Chordata, Mammalia, Pholidota, Manidae.